RNAcentral lists this ribosomal RNA (467 nucleotides) under uncultured bacterium. Its description in RNAcentral is "partial 16S ribosomal RNA". It matches the Rfam family "Bacterial small subunit ribosomal RNA", at positions 28 to 507 of the family's 1533-position model. The record is from RNAcentral.
GAUGAACGCUGGCGGCGUGCUUAACACAUGCAAGUCGAACGGAAAGGCCCAAGCUUGCUUGGGUACUCGAGUGGCGAACGGGUGAGUAACACGUGGGUGAUCUGCCCUGCACUUCGGGAUAAGCCUGGGAAACUGGGUCUAAUACCGGAUAGGACCACUUCUUGGAUGUUGUGGUGGAAAGUUUUUUCGGUGUGGGAUGAGCUCGCGGCCUAUCAGCUUGUUGGUGGGGUAAUGGCCUACCAAGGCGUCGACGGGUAGCCGGCCUGAGAGGGUGUACGGCCACAUUGGGACUGAGAUACGGCCCAGACUCCUACGGGAGGCAGCAGUGGGGAAUAUUGCACAAUGGGCGCAAGCCUGAUGCAGCGACGCCGCGGGGGGGAUGACGGGCUUCGGGUUGUAAACUCCUUUCGCUAGGGACGAAGCGUUUUGUGACGGUACCUGGAGAAGAAGCACCGGCUAACUACGUG